UGGUGGGCAAGUAAGUACAGUAUAUGUCAUAGAUAACAGUAACUACGUAGUGUUUACGGUAAUUUACUUGUAACUAAUGAUUUUUCUGAACGAUUACUUUUAAUUUCGUUAUUUUUGUAAACAAGUUAUACAGUAUUCAAGUACUAUUCCGACUUUCUUUGAUUGUUUAAUUAUGCUUCACAGCUGUUUAUUGUCCAUGUUAUUGAUAAUAUACAUAUAGGCUAUCUGAUUUACAUAGGGAAAGAUAUUGACCAUUGCUUAUAUACCCGUGGUAGUUACAUAGGAAAGGCUACUGGUUACGACGGUAACUCAAUACUGCUGAUGUGGCAACUAUAAAAUGCUUGUUACCUUUGAUAGAUGAACGGACGGACGGAGAGAGAGAGAGAGAGAGAGAGAGAGAGAGUAUCCUGGGUGAAGUUGUCAACUCACCACAUGACCAACCUGUUAAUAAUAUCAGCCAAUCAGAGGAAAGAUUAAACUAUUACGACCCUACAAAAAAAAGGCGAAAUGUGUGUUAUAUGGAAGGCCGAACUAAAGUCUCAUUAUGGCAAGGAACUACCGACCCGAAGAGACCUGUACGCGUGGAUGAUUCAAUGUGAGGAGACUGGCAGUUUUCUAAAACAGCAUGGUAGAGAAAAGCCCAGAACAACGGAGGAAGAUGUUGAAUGCAUACAUGAUGCCUUCCACAGAGGCCCAAGGAAGUCCAUCCGCCAAGCCAGUACCGAAUACAGCAAAUUCCACGUUAAACUGUACACCCACGGCUGCCCCUUUAUGCAUAUAAGCUUUAACUGGUUAGCAGCUCAGAGUACCAGUGUGAUUUAGUCUGUGCUACGAAUGGUGUACAUGUUGAAUGUCUACCCUAACGUACCCUAAUGUACCCGAAUGAUAUGUUUACUUAUGUGCCAAAUAAAACUUAAGCAAAUGAC
This is a long non-coding RNA of Homarus americanus (American lobster), 926 nucleotides long. RefSeq lists it as uncharacterized. NCBI's taxonomy places the organism in Eukaryota, Metazoa, Arthropoda, Malacostraca, Decapoda, Nephropidae. The record is from RefSeq and is a predicted model, not a curated record. The transcript has 2 exons.